UACGUAGGGUGCAAGCGUUGUCCGGAAUUAUUGGGCGUAAAGAGCUCGUAGGCGGUCUGUUGCGUCUGCUGUGAAAACUCAGGGCUUAACCCUGAGCUUGCAGUGGGUACGGGCAGACUAGAGUGCGGUAGGGGAGACUGGAAUUCCUGGUGUAGCGGUGAAAUGCGCAGAUAUCAGGAGGAACACCGGUGGCGAAGGCGGGUCUCUGGGCCGAUACUGACGCUGAGGAGCGAAAGCGUGGGGAGCGAACAGG
RNAcentral lists this ribosomal RNA (253 nucleotides) under uncultured bacterium. Its description in RNAcentral is "partial 16S ribosomal RNA". It matches the Rfam family "Bacterial small subunit ribosomal RNA", at positions 524 to 776 of the family's 1533-position model. The record is from RNAcentral.